AGAGAGAAAAUAUCGCAUACUUAUAUAGGUUCAUAAUCGGUUGAACGUCUCUACCAGCCGCCGGAAACGGCUGACUAUAAGUAUGCCGGGCGUAAGA
RNAcentral lists this non-coding RNA (97 nucleotides) under Lachnoclostridium sp. RNAcentral describes it as "Guanine sequence". It matches the Rfam family "Purine riboswitch aptamer". From Rfam's summary of the family: Riboswitches are metabolite binding domains within certain messenger RNAs that serve as precision sensors for their corresponding targets. Allosteric rearrangement of mRNA structure is mediated by ligand binding, and this results in modulation of gene expression. RNAcentral also lists the same sequence under 1 other name. The record is from RNAcentral. Lineage: Bacteria; Bacillati; Bacillota; Clostridia; Lachnospirales; Lachnospiraceae.